Molecule: ribosomal RNA, 253 nt
Filed under: uncultured bacterium
Lineage: Bacteria
Description: partial 16S ribosomal RNA
Rfam family: Bacterial small subunit ribosomal RNA
Source: RNAcentral
UACAGAGGUGGCGAGCGUUAUUCGGAAUUAUUGGGCGUAAAGGGCGCGUAGGCGGCCGCGAAAGUCCUGGGUGAAAUCCCUCGGCUCAACCGAGGAACUGCCUUGGAAACUACACGGCUCGAGGCCGGGAGAGGGUGGCGGAAUUCCCAGUGUAGCGGUGAAAUGCGUAGAUAUUGGGAGGAACACCGGUGGCGAAGGCGGCUACCUGGACCGGUUCUGACGCUGAUGCGCGAAAGCGUGGGGAGCAAACAGG